AGAAACUAACAAGGAUUCCCCUAGUAACUGCGAGUGAACCGGGAAAAGCUCAAAUUUUGAAUCUGGCGGUCCAAGGGCCGUCCGAGUUGUAAUCUAGAGAAGCGUCUUCCGCGCUGGACCGUGUAUAAGUUUCCUGGAAUGGAACGUCGUAGAGGGUGACAAUCCCGUCUUUGACACGGACUCCCAGUGCUAUGUGAUGCGCUCUCGACGAGUCGAGUUGUUUGGGAAUGCAGCUCAAAUAGGGUGGUAAAUUCCAUCUAAAGCUAAAUACAGGCGAGAGACCGAUAGCGAACAAGUACCGUGAGGGAAAGAUGAAAAGAACUUUGGAAAGAGAGUUAAACAGUACGUGAAAUUGCUGAAAGGGAAACGCUUGAUGUCAGUCGCAUCGUCCGGGGAUCAGCCUCGCUCUUUUGCUCGGCGUACUUCCUGGUCGAUGGGUCAGCAUCGGUUUCGACCGUCGGAAAAUGGCUCGAGGAACGUGGCACUCUUCGGGGUGUGUUAUAGCCUCGAGUCGAAUACGACGGUCGGGACCGAGGAACUCAGCACGACCUUCGGGUUCGGGGCUUCGGCUCACGUUCGCGUGCUUAGGAUGCUGGCAUAAUGGCCUUAAGCGACCCGU
Molecule: ribosomal RNA, 619 nt
Filed under: Suillus spraguei
Lineage: Eukaryota; Fungi; Basidiomycota; Agaricomycetes; Boletales; Suillaceae
Description: partial 25S ribosomal RNA
Rfam family: Eukaryotic large subunit ribosomal RNA
Source: RNAcentral